Molecule: ribosomal RNA, 253 nt
Filed under: uncultured bacterium
Lineage: Bacteria
Description: partial 16S ribosomal RNA
Rfam family: Bacterial small subunit ribosomal RNA
Source: RNAcentral
UACAGAGGGGGCAAGCGUUGUUCGGAAUUACUGGGCGUAAAGGGCUCGUAGGCGGCCAACUAAGUCAGACGUGAAAUCCCUCGGCUUAACCGGGGAACUGCAUCUGAUACUGGAUGGCUUGAGUUCGGGAGAGGGAUGUGGAAUUCCAGGUGUAGCGGUGAAAUGCGUAGAUAUGCGGAGGAACACCGAUGGCGAAGGCAGUCCCCUGGGCCUGUACUGACGCUCAUGCACGAAAGCGUGGGGAGCAAACAGG